CAGUCGCCGCGGGAACACCGAGGGUGCAAGCGUUAAUCGGAAUUACUGGGCGUAAAGCGCGCGUAGGUGGUUUGUUAAGUUGGAUGUGAAAUCCCCGGGCUCAACCUGGGAACUGCAUCCAAAACUGGCAAGCUAGAGUAUGGUAGAGGGUGGUGGAAUUUCCUGUGUAGCGGUGAAAUGCGUAGAUAUAGGAAGGAACACCAGUGGCGAAGGCGACCACCUGGACUGAUACUGACACUGAGGUGCGAAAGCGUGGGGAGCAAACAGGAUUAGAUACCCCAGUAGUCCCUGUCUCUUAUAC
Molecule: ribosomal RNA, 301 nt
Filed under: uncultured bacterium
Lineage: Bacteria
Description: partial 16S ribosomal RNA
Rfam family: Bacterial small subunit ribosomal RNA
Source: RNAcentral